AUAAAUCCAAAUCCAAACUCAUAAAGACAGGAAGGCUGACUGACGUUCACAUAAACUAAUCACCCUCUGAUUUCCCAUUUGAGUGACAGGCAUGUCAGCCAAUGACAGCAGGGGUUAGUAUCAGGUUUGAGCUGCGACAGGCUGAAGGAAAUCGGCCCAUGAGCAGCCCCUCCUCUUCCGCUCCAUCGCCAUGGCGGAGAUCAGCGAGUCGCUUCUGUCGGUGUCGCCGGCCUCGGCGCCCACAAGGACGGGAGUGAUUCCCCUUCGCGCCUCGGUGGGUCUGUUUCGGUGACGUCUGUGGUGGCUGACGAAACAUGCUUUGACAGGGAGCGAGCGAGGACAAUGACUACAACUCCCAGAAGGCCCCACUGAUGACGUUGUGGUGUUGUUCAGGGCUUUCCCACCACAGAUGUAAGGCUCAAUGGUCUAUAAUUAUCGGGACUAUCCCUACUACCCUUUUUGAACAAGGGGACAACAUUCGCCUCCCUCCAAUACUCCGGUACAAUUCCCGAGGACAAUGAGGACAUAAUGAUCUUCACCAGAGGCUCAGCAAUCUAUUUCCUCGCUUCGGAUGCAGAACUGGGAAGCACAGAUGGAGUUCAACACAGAUGAAGAAGUUCAUUUCUGCAGGUCAAAUUCGAACACAGAAUAUAAUAUUAAUGUGAUCUUACUCCUGACGCCAGUCCCAGGACCCAACCCAUUUACAGACCCGGAGCGGAACCGGAGCAGAUCCUCAGCCACUGGUUUUCAUCCCCAGUCGCAAACUUUCCCACCACAGAUGUAAGGCUCAAUGGUCUAUAAUUAUCGGGACUAUCCCUACUACCCUUUUUGAACAAGGGGACAACAUUCGCCUCCCUCCAAUACUCCGGUACAAUUCCCGUGGACAAUGAGGACAUAAUGAUCUUCGCCAGAGGCUCAGCAAUCUAUUUCCUUGCCUCGGAUGCAGAACUGGGAAGCGCAGAUGGAGUUCACCACAGAUGAAGAGGUUCAUUUCUGCAGAUCAAAUUUGAACACAGAAUAUAAUAUUAAUGUGAUCUUACUCCUGACGCCAGUCCCAGGACCCAACCCAUUUACAGACCCGGAGCAUAACGGGAGCAGAUCCUCAGCCACUGGUUUUCAUCCCCAGUCGCAAAGUAAGGAUAAAGUUUCCGUGUGAAUUUAUUCCCAGUGAAGGUGUGGAGAUGGGACUUGGUUUCCGCGUUGUAAAAUGAAACUGUCCCGGACUCGUAACUGAGAUAAACUCCCACCCUCCCGGGGAUGGGACCGGCAGCGAGACGGGUCUCGGGGGAGGUACAAACCUUCAUCAUGUUAUUAUUCCGAAGUAACACGUCAUAAUACCGCCCAAUGACCCUGAAUCCUGUCUCCGGACUCAGUCCGACUCCUCUCUUCCCCUCCAACGACCCUGCGGUGACUCCUAAAUAACAGUCCCGAUUCCCCGUCACCUCCACCUCCCAGUCAUGUCUCCCAGCACACAACCCUGAUUUGUGAAUCUCUUCCCGGUGUCAGGGAGCUCUCUCCGGGUCCGGGUACAUCUCACACUCUUCCGAUCCUCAGACACCUCGAGAUCCGGAUUCGCCAUUUCCACAUCCAGGGUGACAGAGACUGGGGGGAGAAGCAGAGAAUUAGAGAGUCCCCGGGGAUCGGGGGGAGACUCGGGCAGCGCGUUUCCGGGGAUCGGGGAGAGACUCAGGCAGCGCGUCCCCGGGGAUCGGGGAGAGACUCAGGCAGCACUGCCCCAGAGAUUGGGGGAAUACUCGGGCAAAGUGUCCCCAGGACCAGUGGAAAGCCCGUGGGCCUUCGGCGCAGUCGGGUUGCCGAUCGGCAACCUUUCCCAGGGAAGCAUGUGGGCAACUAAUAUCUCUCCAAUAUCUUUCUGCUGGAUGGAGAGCAGAGAUUUCCUGAUCAAACAGACACAAAAUCCUGGAGGAACCGAGCGCGUCAGGCAGCAUGUGUGGAGAGAGAUGGACAGUCCACGUUUCAGGUCGACAUCUUCCCUCAAGAGCAGAAAUGAAUAGGGGAGAGAGACAGCAGAAAUGAGUGUGGGAAAGGGGUGGAUUAAGAUGGGAAGGGGGUGAGUGAAUGGAUUUAAACAGGUCGCAGAGGCUCUUCGGCCCAACUUGUUUGUGCCGACCAGCUUGCUUUAAUGAGCUGGUCCCAUUUGCCCAUUAUUCCUUUCCACCUUUGUUAUCCACGUCCCUGGCAAGAUGUAUUUUAAAACAUUGUCACUGUACCCAAUUCUACAGCUGAUCAAGAGCCCGGUGUACUAUACCAUGAAUUUUAGUGUCACCCACAAACCUACUAACUGUGUCAGCAACGUUCUGAUACAAAUCAUUAACAUGAAUGACAAACAACCCGUCCCCAGCACCGACCUCUGCAGGUCACAGGCCUCCAGUCCUCUGUGUUUAAGACACUUGGACAGACACUUCAACAGGCAAGGCAUGAGAGAGACUGACCUAAUGUUGGCCAAUGGGAUGAAUGUAGAUGGGUAAAUAGGUCAGCACGGAGGUGAUGGGUCAAAGGGAACAUUUCUAUGCUGUACGCAACGCCAUGCUGAUAAUUCCAAAUGGACAGUGACCCCUGACCUUUAACUCCUCAGACAGGGGAAACAUCCUCCCUGUAUCCUGCCUGUUGAUCCCUGAGAGAAUUUUGUAUUUCCCUGAGAUCUGCUCCCAUUCUUCUAAACAGGGAACAGAGAACACAGAACAGUACAGCACAAGAACAGGCCCUUCAUUCAAUGUUCACAUUCAUUGAGUGUGAAGUGGGAAGUUGAAGGUUCAAGAUAGUAAAGAAGGUGAUAAUGGGAACCAGUAGGGGAGAGAUGAACGGGGGAUUGAACCAGAACCAGGUGGGCGAGGGGUGGAAAGCCUGUGAGUGAACUGUGUGUGUAGACGUAACAAGAAGUUCGAGGGGAACAAAGAUGGGGGAUAAGUUUUCCUUUGUCCCCUUUCCCACAACCCAAUCACCCACAACCCCUCAUUAGGACACGGGAUGGAAAUGCACAGAUCCUUAAGCAAUACAGGUCCAGAUGAAGGGUUUCAGCCCAAGCCGUCGACUGUCUACUCUUUUCCAUAGAUGCUUCCUGUCCUGCUGAGUUCCUCCAGCAUUUUGUGCGUGUUAAUCUACAUUAAAUAUACUCAAUUAUUUGUCCUCUAUUCUCUGGCGAAAGGAAUUCCUCCUCGACUCUGUUCUAAAUGAGCAUCCUCCAGUCGGAGGCUGUGCCAUCUGGUCCUCGACCCACCCACAUCCCCCAGACAUCAACUCUCUCCAGACAGGAGACCAGGCAAGACCUUCAUCAGGACCUGUGUAGCUUGGAUUACCAGCAUCCGCAGAUUUUCAUCCUCCAGUCUGAGACUGUGCCAUCUGGUCCUCGACCCACCCACAUCCCCCAGACAUCAACUCUCUCCAGACAGGAGACCAGGCAAGACCUUCACCAGGACCUGUGUAGCUCGGAUUACCAGCAUCCGCAGAUUUUCUCAUGUGUGCAGGGUGCCGAAGCAGUUUAGAGGGCUUCACUGCCGCAUUAGACAGCCUCCAGGCCCGAACUCCAUCCUCGGCCGGCCCGCUGCCAGAUGCCUUGGCCAGGUGUGGCUGGUCAUGGGUGGGGUGUGAGGACAAGGUCAGGGCCGGAGGUCCCCGUGCCGGGGCCGCGGCGGUCGCAGUCUGGACAGAGCGACCGACCGAGAGGCCCGCGCCUGCGCCCUUUGUAGGAUCUAUCGACAGACAAAAGUUUGUUUCAGCAGAUCAUAGCGCGGUAGCUGCUCUGAUACUUGCGAAACCUUCAGCCCGAAUUAGGUUGUCUGUGAAUAUUUUAGCACCGGAUUCCCCAAGAAAAUUCGGUGUGCUAAACAAUUACAGCGGCGGCACCCAUCUGUCCGAGAUCGGGGCCAGUAGCAUUGGGUAUUCCCGCCAGCCACCUUUCGGGCUAGUAGCAUCGGCACUUCCCGCCGGCCGCGCGUUUAGGCGACUGAUGACCUUGCGUAGGUUCAAGUCCAACAGUAGCUGUGACAGGGAACGAGGAAAGGUGCAACUGACUCGCAUUGUUUCCUCGCGGCCCGGUGGUUGGGGACCACUGAAGUACACCGUCUGGGCACAGUGGAUUCUGAGUGGGCUGGGUGUAGGGAGAGAUGUGUUUGGUGGUAGAAUCUGGCUGGAGAUGGUGAAAGAUGUCAGGAUAAGUUGGAUAUAGAGGCUCGUGUUGCGGUUGUUCGGACUUUGGAGAUUCACUUGACGGUGGGGUCAGUAUCGAAUUCAGGCUGAUUUUACCGUGCACAUUUUAACAGCUUCUUUAAUCGGCAUGAAGUGGUGCUCUCUGUGUUCCUGCGCGUCUCUACAGAUCAGACAGAUCAAUGUCUUGUCCGUUUCACAAAACAGCUUCAGUUCUUCCUCAUGUUCCUCACAGUGACGUUUACUUUCCUUCCCUUUCGGAUUCAGGUUUAGAUUUCGAGCUUUUUCAGCCAGAUUUGCUAAGGCCCGAUUCACCCUGAGGGUGCGGUCAGCAAACACCUCUCUACAGUCCGGGCAGGAGUUUCUCUCCUCCCUUUCCCAAUACUUGUGAUACAAGAGCGACAGAAGUUGUGUCCACACUCCAGUAUAACCGGAUCGGUGAAGAAAUCCAGGCAGAUGGGACAAAUUACCUCCUCGGUCCAACUCUCGGUCUCUCCUUUCGAAGCCAUGUUAACUCCCGGCACUUCCUGAUUCAGAAUGCUUUCACUUUCGGGGAGCUGCUGAUCCCCUGCACGCUGCAGUGUCGGACACUGACCGUGGUUUUGCUGGAUGUGUUCAUUGGGGAAAAGUUUGGCUAUUUCCAUAUCAGGGUGGGAUCAGAAAAAUGUUAAAUAGGUGGGAACUGCAAAGAAAACGUGGCCCUGGACUGCCUAAGCCCGGCUGUGAAAGCAGGCGGGUUGGGCUUGUGAGAAAAAAAAAAUGCAACAGAAACGUCGACUGAAUCUCCAAAGGACUCAUCCCUGGAAUCAGAAGGACCAUCCCUGAAAUCAGAAGGACCGUCCCUCGGACCAGACGGACCGUCCCUGGGAUCAGAAGGACCGUCCCUCGGACCAGACGGACCAUCCCUGGGAUCAGAAGGACCAUCCCCUGGGAUCAGAACGACCAUCCCCGAGAUCAGACAGACCAUCCCCAGGAUCAGACGGACCAUCCCCGGGAUCAGACGGACCAUCCCCUGGGAUCAGAACGACCAUCCCCGGGAUCAGACGGACCAUCCCUGGGAUCAGAAGGACCAUCCCUGGGAUCAGACGGACCAUCCCCUGGAAGACGAUUGAGGUCGUGUGGUGAAAAAAGAAGCCACAGGGCCGAUCAACCCAGGCCCUGGAUUGGGGUCUCUGGCGAGCUGCUGUUGGCGACCCGUAGGCGUGGUGGGCUGAAGAAGAAGCAGAACAGAAAUGAAGCCAGAGAGAAGA
Hypanus sabinus (Atlantic stingray) is the source of this 5414-nucleotide long non-coding RNA. RefSeq lists it as uncharacterized. The record is from RefSeq and is a predicted model, not a curated record. The transcript has 5 exons. NCBI's taxonomy places the organism in Eukaryota, Metazoa, Chordata, Chondrichthyes, Myliobatiformes, Dasyatidae.